ACCGCAGUGUUUCUAGAAGGAUACCAAGUUAGAGCACCUCCAUUGGAGGUUUUUAGAGAGGGUUCUAAAAAAAAACCAAUAAAAAUAAAUGAAAAAGAAAAUAAAACCAAAGAUCCGGUGCCAAACUAAGGGGUUUUGGAACCACUAGACACCCCAUACGUGUUCUGUUCUUAUUGGCCGCCUCUCUUUCUUCUUCUAUGGUUUUUUUUUGUGUCUGAGAAAUCUAGUGUUGUUGCUCUCCUUCUCCAGAUCCGUUCAUUGAAAUCACCUUGUAGCUUCUCACAUGAAAGUAAUUGGGCGUGAUUGAGUUUCCAGAUGGAUUACCUCCUACUACGUCGACAAGGAAAAAGGAGAAUCUUUCAGAGAUGGAGCAGCAACUGAAGAAGGCAGAAGCUGCUCAAAGGCGAAAAGUUCAGAUUGAGAAGGCUGCAAGAGAGUCCGAGGCAGAAGCCAUUAGAAAAAUUCUAGGAUAGGAUUCGAGCAGGAAGAAGCGUGAAGACAAAAUUAAAAAAUGGCUCAGGAGAAAGCUGCACACGAGGAAAGGGCCUCAACAAGCUACAUCAGGACAAUAAUGGGUCCUAAUGGAACAACUGUUUCAUUUCCCAUUGACAAAGUGUCUAGCCUGUUUGAUCCCAAACCAUCUGGAUUGUUAAUGAGUUCAUGACAAAGCUUCCUCUCUGCAGUCUCAAAUGUUACAAGGUAGUUCAGGAGCAGCAUCAGUAGCAGACUGCACCGGUUUAGAUAUUGAUUUGAUUUUUUCUGAUACAAAAGGUCAAGAACUCAGCUCUCUGAGUUUAUAGAGAUUACAGGACAUGUUUUAGUUUUUCUUUUGCUUUGCUUCAGACUUGUCUGAUUGGAUAUAGUUCAUUUUUCAUAUGUGAGAUGAGCUCAUGUUUAUUUGAAUUUUUAUUUAGGCUUUUCUUUCAUGUUUGUUUAAAAUUUCUAAUAAUAAAUUUGUAUUUCUGUUUUUAA
Molecule: long non-coding RNA, 972 nt
Organism: Brassica napus (rape)
Lineage: Eukaryota; Viridiplantae; Streptophyta; Magnoliopsida; Brassicales; Brassicaceae
Exons: 6
Source: RefSeq, a predicted model, not a curated record